UAUUUUCUUUUUCUUUUUCAUGUUUUCCUCUCUUUUGUUUCCUAUUUUCUUUUUACUUUCGUGAGUUUGCUUUUCUUGCUUUUUUUCCCAUUAAUUUUGUUGUUGUUGUUUCAUUCGUCUUCGGUGUAUUUGUUGGGAAUUUGUCUUUCGAUCUUUGGGUAAGGUGUGGUGUAAGUUUUGUCAAGGCAUUUUUUUCUAUUUUUAUAGUCUUAUUUUGUUCUUGAAUAAUGUUAGAGUUCUUGGUGUUAAAUUACUUUCCGUGGUUAUAUUAAGUGUUUCUUAUGGUUUGUUUAGGCAAAGGUUGUGAGAAUCAAUUACCUCCAGUGGAGUAAGUCUC
This 337-nucleotide long non-coding RNA is filed under the name Gossypium raimondii (Peruvian cotton). Its description in RNAcentral is "long non-coding RNA (GRAI_LNC005664)". The record is from RNAcentral. Lineage: Eukaryota; Viridiplantae; Streptophyta; Magnoliopsida; Malvales; Malvaceae.